This 555-nucleotide ribosomal RNA is filed under the name Bodianus mesothorax (splitlevel hogfish). Its description in RNAcentral is "partial 16S ribosomal RNA". It matches the Rfam family "Bacterial large subunit ribosomal RNA", at positions 1844 to 2597 of the family's 2925-position model. Lineage: Eukaryota; Metazoa; Chordata; Actinopteri; Labriformes; Labridae. The record is from RNAcentral.
AAUAAGAGGUCCCGCCUGCCCUGUGACUAUAAUGUUUAACGGCCGCGGUAUUUUGACCGUGCGAAGGUAGCGCAAUCACUUGUCUUUUAAAUGGAGACCUGUAUGAAUGGCAUAACGAGGGCUUAACUGUCUCCUUUUUCAGGUCAAUGAAAUUGAUCUCCCCGUGCAGAAGCGGGGAUACGCACAUAAGACGAGAAGACCCUAUGGAGCUUUAGACACCAAGGCGGAUUAUGUCAAUCACCCCUGAACAAAGGACUAAACAAGAUAACCCCCGCCCUAAUGUCUUUGGUUGGGGCGACCGCGGGGAAGAAAAAAACCCCCAUGUGGAACGGGACACCAGUCCUACAACCAAGAGCUCCCGCUCUAAGUACCAGAACUUCUGACCAGACAGAUCCGGCUUAAGCCGAUCAACGGACCGAGUUACCCUAGGGAUAACAGCGCAAUCUCCUUUUAGAGUCCAUAUCGACAAGGAGGUUUACGACCUCGAUGUUGGAUCAGGACAUCCUAAUGGUGCAGCCGCUAUUAAGGGUUCGUUUGUUCAACGAUUAAAGUCCU